This 251-nucleotide ribosomal RNA is filed under the name uncultured bacterium. RNAcentral describes it as "partial 16S ribosomal RNA". It matches the Rfam family "Bacterial small subunit ribosomal RNA", at positions 524 to 773 of the family's 1533-position model. The record is from RNAcentral.
UACGAGAGGGUGCAAGCGUUAAUCGGAAUUACUGGGCGUAAAGCGCGCGUAGGUGGUUUGUUAAGUUGGAUGUGAAAUCCCCGGGCUCAACCUGGGAACUGCAUUCAAAACUGACUGACUAGAGUAUGGUAGAGGGUGGUGGAAUUUCCUGUGUAGCGGUGAAAUGCGUAGAUAUAGGAAGGAACACCAGUGGCGAAGGCGACCACCUGGACUAAUACUGACACUGAGGUGCGAAAGCGUGGGGAGCAAAC